UUCGUGGCGAAAUGGAAUCGGAAGGGAGCGGGCGGCAAACUUUCGGACUGAGGAAACUGAGGAAUAUGAACUUCAUAGGAGGCCAGGUAUUAUUCAACAAAACAAAGCUCUUUUUAUCGAAAGUGAUGCCGAGUAAAUCAAGCAGACGUAUACUAAACGGUACGUAC
RNAcentral lists this non-coding RNA (167 nucleotides) under Parageobacillus toebii NBRC 107807. Lineage: Bacteria; Bacillati; Bacillota; Bacilli; Caryophanales; Anoxybacillaceae. The record is from RNAcentral.